UACAGAGGUCUCAAGCGUUGUUCGGAUUCAUUGGGCGUAAAGGGUGCGUAGGCGGCGCGGUAAGUCGGGUGUGAAAUCUCGGAGCUUAACUCCGAAACUGCAUUCGAUACUGCCGUGCUUGAGGACUGGAGAGGAGACUGGAAUUUACGGUGUAGCGGUGAAAUGCGUAGAUAUUGGGAGGAACACCAGUGGCGAAGGCGGCUCACUGGACCGGUUCUGACGCUGAGGCGCGAAAGCGUGGGGAGCAAACGGG
RNAcentral lists this ribosomal RNA (253 nucleotides) under uncultured bacterium. RNAcentral describes it as "partial 16S ribosomal RNA". It matches the Rfam family "Bacterial small subunit ribosomal RNA", at positions 524 to 776 of the family's 1533-position model. The record is from RNAcentral.